UGAGUUCAUAUGCUGCUAAUUUAAUGUGUUUGAAAUGCAUUUAACUUGCUGAUUUAAUUUGCUGCAGGUUCAUGAACGGAUUGGUGCAAUGUAUGGGAGUGUGCAUGCACAAUUGAGGUUCAAUGGAUGGCAUUUAAAGGAGCACAUGCAUUUGGGACGUUCAUGCAAGAGGGAGUUGCUAAAAGUUCAUGUAUUUGAAGAUUCAUGGAUCAUAUUUAUGGGGGAAAAUACAUGGGACGUUUCAUGCAUGAUUCAUGCAUUUUCCAGAUGACCAUUCAAGUAUUUUAGGCACAUUAAUGCCUCAUUCAGCCAAGGGAGAUGUAGGAUCAUUAAAGAGCUGCACAUUCAUGGAAUUAUGGAGAUUCUUCAAGGCUAAAGAUGCAUGAAUGCAUCAAGUGAAGCAUCAUGAUGGUUCGGCCAAUUCAUGUACCAUUUUCAAGCAUGAACUGGAUUUUAAUGCUAUUUGUGUGAACAUGUUAAAUACCUGUGUGAACAGAAUUUAAGUUAGUGUGAACAACAUAGAUGCCGAAUAUCAAUAGGAAUUUUAGGCUUAUAAAUAGCUUACUUGUUUAUUGUAAAAGGUUAUAGAAUUUGAUUAUUGAAAACUUGAUUGUGAGGUUUCCUCCUAUCCUAUUUCGUACGAGUCUCGUUCUGACUUAUCUAGCUCACUAGUGGUGUCAACCCGACUUCUUGAACUUAUCACCAUCCUGGUGUGGCGUUCAUCCACCUUUUUAUACCUUUGGUUCCUACCUCUCUAUAGGUAACGGGUCAAGGUCCAUCUUCGACAAUCCAUUAAACCCACCUUAAGCAAUAUAAGUCCUGGGGCAAUACUUCAUAUAGUAUUGAAUCGUUCUUCGCUUGAGUUCUAUUUUUCCAUUCCAUUUUAACUAUUAAAUUAUAAACAAUAUUUCUUUAUUUCACCGAGCCUAUCAAACAUCUAUCCAAACCAUCUUUUGAACCCAUUUUCUCAACUUCCGCUAUAAAAAAUCAUCUAACUCCAUCUAUCUACAAAAUCGAACAAACUUCUCGUCGACGAUCGGGCAAUCAAGUGAAUCGACUCAAUCAACCGAGUCGGAUCACAUCAUUUGGUAUCAGAGCUACUAAAACGAGGAGCGCCGACGUUCGUAAUAAGGCCGCAAGUAGGUUCGAAACGUGAAAAAAAAAUCAAAAAAAAAAAUUUUGAGUUGUAAUUUAAUUUUUUUCCCUUGUAUUUAGCUUACUAUUGUAUUGGAGUAACAAAAAAAUCAAAAAAAAUUCGAAAAAAAAUUGAUUAAAAAAAAUUCAAAAAAAAAGUGAAAAAAAAAUCGAGCAAAAAAAAAGGUGAGAAAAAAAAUCAAGUUAAAAAAAAAGUGAAAAGUCUUGCGAGUUUUUAUCAUUAUCACUUAUUACUCCGAUCAUCAAGUUUCCCUUCCUACCAUUAUUUACCCAUCCCAACGCCACACUUUAAACCAAUUUUCUUCUUUAUUCAGCCUACCCUACACCCGACAUUAUCCCUUGUAACCAAUUUGAAACCGACCCUCAAGCAGCAAAUUAAGUCUACCGAGACAAAUCACGAAAUUGUGAGAAGAGGUUGAGUGGAAAAAGGCACGAGUGAAAUUAUAUCAAAGAAAAAGCCAAAAUUUGAAUGUAAACACGAGUGCGAGUGAAAAUCAUUAUUUCCUUUUCGAGCGAAUUUGUGAGGUUUGUGGUAAGGUAUUUAUUUUCUUUAUUAUUUUUUUCUAACAUCUUCUUGUCAUUACUUAAUCAUGUCUCGAGAAACAUUUCCCGAAUUAGAAUUCCAAUAUUUGAUGCAAGAGAUGCAUAGAAUGGUGAAAUCAAAAUUUGAUAAAUUGCAUGAUCGAUUGGAUCGAGUGGAGGAAAGAGCUCGAUGGAAGCCAAACUCACCGGGUGAAGAGACGGAGACAAGAUCAUCACGAAGGCACACAUCCAUUGAUUUUAAAGGAAGAGAUUCAUACCAUGAUUCCUAUUCAACGAGGAACUCAAGACGAAGCAAAGCAAGUUUUGAGUUUAAAGCUUUCCGAGGUGUCGAACGAGAAAUCACAAGUAGUCCUUCGUAUGCACCGAGGUAUUCGUCCGCCAAGAAUCAAUCUCAAAGAGGUGAUCAUUUUUUGUAUGAAAGUCGUUCCAAUUAUACCCAAUGAGAGUCAUUUCGUGCUGAUUCAUUUGUAACAUCUCCAUCCUAUAAUGAAAGAGCGAGGCAAAAUGAAAAAGAAAUAAGAAGAAAGGAAAGACAAGAAAUGUUGAUGAGAGAAAAUGAGCAUAUAUGGAAUGAAAUCGAGAGACGAAAAAAAGAAAUGAAAGAAAAGGAACAAGAAAUUGAAAAAGAGAGUGAGAUUGAAGAAAGAAACGAGAGUGUAAAAGAAACGAGUGUCAUUGAAAAAGAAAUUGAGAUUGAAAAAGGAUGUGAAAAAGAGAAAGAAAUCGAAAAAGAAAUUGAGAUUGAACAAAAGUGUGAGGAAAAAGAGAAAAUUGAAAAAGAAAGAAAAGACAAUGAGUUAGAAAAAAAACGAGAGAAAAGGAGGCAAAAGAGCAAGAAAAAGUGAGGAAUUUGUUUACUAAACCACAUGAGAAUUUGUCUUGUUUUGUUUCCUCUUUUCAGGUCUCCGGAAGGCCAAGUGACGAUAAUUUUCAACUCCAAUACCUCUCGAAGGAGAGAAGGUUCAUUUUGGCUGAAAAAGGUAAUGUUCUCAACGAUCCUAGUUCGCCUAUGCCAAAAGGUAAGCAAGGUAUGAAUGUUGAAAAUUUUAAAGCACUUCUGCCUUACUCGAUUGUUGAUGGACACACUGUUGAUGAUUUGGUCUUUAGAAAGAAUCUGAACUUUGACGUGGCUAUUUGUCAUUAUUUGAUUGAUGAUGAUCCAUUUGUUGUGUCUAAUGAUAAGAAGAUUCUUGCUUUUGAAAAAUAUCAUUUUGAUGGUAUUGGUUGUUUAUCUUUAACUUGCAAUGGAAUGCAUGUUUUGGAUGCGCUAGAUGAAAGUCCAUAUAAAAUGUUCAUUCUCACUGAUCAUGUUGAAAAGGAAUGGAAAUGUAUUGAUGAAUACGCCAUUGGCAAGAUUUUUGAUGAAGAGCGAAUAAAUCAGCACUAACAAAAUCUGGAAUUGUGUGAUCAAAAGUUGACAUAUCAUCUGCUUGGUUGUGUUGAUCAUGUGGAUUAUCUAAUUUUUGGUGUGAAAUUUCCAUGUUUUUGUAAAUCUUUUCGAAUGAAAUUUAAAGGGUUUGCUUGUUUGAAUUUGAGUAUGUUAACACCCUCGUUGUUUAAUUUGUGUAAAUUGUUGGAGAUAAAAGGACUCUUUUUGCCAUUUGGAUUGAGUAGUCAAAAUCAUGUCUUUAAUCCUGGAGUUUGCUAUUAUGAAUCAUCCAUGAAAGAAAGCAAGCAUCGUAAAAUUUGUUUGAAUGAAUGUGUAAACAAUCUUUGUUUGUAUGAUACUUUGUCUUUAAGUUUGAAAAUGAGCCAUGUGAAUCUUGUUGGUUUGUUAAGUCAAAAUCAAAAUUUUGUUUUCGGAGGAUGUUCUCAACUGUGGACUAAAAGAUCCGAACAUGUUUUGAAUGAUAAUGAUUUUGAGUUGCUUAGUGCUCUUUCUAUGAAGUCGGUCAUGAAAUUGCCAAAUCAAAUUGAAAUGGCAAGAGAAAAUUUUGUCUUUGACCCCGGUGAACACCAUUCUAUAUCAUUGCCUAAGGUAAUCGAACCAUGGAAAGUUGACUUCCAAAACCAUAGCUAUCAAAUGCCUUGUGAUUUAUGUUUGUUUCCAUCGAAGAAAAAGGUAAGAACGAUUUCUAUUUUCGACCCCGGUAUUGGAUUAUUUGUUCAAACUGUGAAUCAAAUCUCAAAAAGUUCCUUUGUGUUUAAUCUUCAUCGUGUCACUAAUUCGUUUUAUUCUUUUAAAGGUGACAAUGUGAAGUGGUACCCUCCUAAAGAGGGAGGGCAUGCGAAUGAGCUUCUUUUGAUCCGAGUUAAUUGUGGCUUUCAGAAUCUUCAACGAUUUUUCGUGAGUAAAUGGCCCGAUUUGGGGACAAAUCGCUUUAAAGAGGGAGGGGAUGAUACGACCAUGCCCCGGGCACACUUUUGGAUCAGCUCCCUAAGCAUUGUUUGCAAAUCCAUGCGAGCUAAAUUAGUUCAAUUUCAUUUCGUUAAGCUCCGUUUAGCUCGUUUCCAGCUCACUCGAGCUCAAGUCAACUCACUCAAGCUCAAUUCAGCUCAAUCUUAACCCAAUAAGCUUAUUUUUAGCUUUCUUUAGCUUGCAUUUAUUUUGCUGAAAUAAACCAUUUAAUUUGUCAUUAGUUAAAUUAGUUGUUUAUCUUAAGUUAGUUAAUUUGUUAAAAUCUGGACAAAUAAUUAAUUAAGUGUUUUAAUUAUAUCUAAAUUAAAUACUUAAUUAAUUAUGAUGUUUUAAAUAUGUCUAAAAUUGUUAAUAUGUAUGGCCAAAUUUAAUGUGCAAAUUAUUGAGUUCAUAUGCUACUAAUUUAAUGUGUUUGAAAUGCAUUUAACUUGCUGAUUUAAUUUGCUGCAGGUUCAUGAACGGAUUGGUGCAAUGUAUGGGAGUGUGCAUGCACAAUUGAGGUUCAAUGGAUGGCAUUUAAAAGAGCACAUGCAUUUGGGACGUUCAUGCAAGAGGGAGUUGCUAAAAGUUCAUGUAUUUGAAGAUUCAUGGAUCAUAUUUAUGGGGGAAAAUACAUGGGACGUUUCAUGCAUGAUUCAUGCAUUUUCCAGAUGACCAUUCAAGUAUUUUAGGCACAUUAAUGCCUCAUUCAGCCAAGGGAGAUGUAGGAUCAUUAAAGAGCUGCACAUUCAUGGAAUUAUGGAGAUUCUUCAAGGCUAAAGAUGCAUGAAUGCAUCAAGUGAAGCAUCAUGAUGGUUCGGCCAAUUCAUGUACCAUUUUCAAGCAUGAACUGGAUUUUAAUGCUAUUUGUGUGAACAUGUUAAAUACCUGUGUGAACAGAAUUUAAGUUAGUGUGAACAACAUAGAUGCCGAAUAUCAAUAGGCAUUUUAGGCUUAUAAAUAGCUUACUUGUUUAUUGUAAAAGGUUAUAGAAU
This 5031-nucleotide long non-coding RNA is filed under the name Gossypium barbadense (sea-island cotton). RNAcentral's name for it is "long non-coding RNA (GBAR_LNC016517)". Lineage: Eukaryota; Viridiplantae; Streptophyta; Magnoliopsida; Malvales; Malvaceae. The record is from RNAcentral.